Molecule: non-coding RNA, 81 nt
Organism: Podarcis lilfordi (Lilford's wall lizard)
Lineage: Eukaryota; Metazoa; Chordata; Lepidosauria; Squamata; Lacertidae
Source: the annotation of a GenBank genome assembly
GCCUUGGAUAGCUCAGUUGGUUGAAGCAUGGUGCUAUUAACACCAAGGUUGCAGGUUCAAUCCCCCUAUGUGACAUCUGCA